UACGUAGGGUGCGAGCGUUAAUCGGAAUUACUGGGCGUAAAGUGUGCGCAGGCGGCCGCGCAAGUCGAGUGUGAAAUCCCCGAGCUUAACUUGGGAAUUGCGCUCGAAACUACGUGGCUGGAGUGUGGCAGAGGAAGGUGGAAUUCCACGUGUAGCGGUGAAAUGCGUAGAGAUGUGGAGGAACACCGAUGGCGAAGGCAGCCUCCUGGGCCAAUACUGACGCUCAUGCACGAAAGCGUGGGGAGCAAACAGG
RNAcentral lists this ribosomal RNA (253 nucleotides) under uncultured bacterium. Its description in RNAcentral is "partial 16S ribosomal RNA". It matches the Rfam family "Bacterial small subunit ribosomal RNA", at positions 524 to 776 of the family's 1533-position model. The record is from RNAcentral.